RNAcentral lists this long non-coding RNA (1897 nucleotides) under Otus sunia (Oriental scops-owl). RNAcentral's name for it is "lncRNA (ENSOSUG00000010266.1)". Lineage: Eukaryota; Metazoa; Chordata; Aves; Strigiformes; Strigidae. The record is from RNAcentral.
UCCUCCUUGAUCUGACAUGAGCAGUAAAUGUUGGCUGCUCCCUUUAUCAUUGUCUUUUACCAUCAUCCAUCCCAUCCACUUUAUGGAGCUCAGAGGGAACCUUGAUUGCAAAAUGAGGAAUACUGGCAAAGUUUUUAGUGUAGCAAAAUGUACUUUGGCAGCCGGACAUAAAUUCUAUGUAACUUUCUUUCUGAAGACAUUUGCUAUUUUAAUUGUUACUUCUGGCCCUAUUCUCAGGGAAGAUGGAAUUUGGAGUUUAAGAAAGCACGUGAUGACAGAUGCAGAAGCUCCACUGACAUUUAACUUAAGUGAGGAUGGCAGAGCUGUCACACAAGAUGGGAAUUUUUCAUAGUUGUGGCAUGUCAGAUGGCCAGGUGUUAAACACAGAAACCUGCUGUUGACUUUCAAAGAAGCAUUUCCAGGUGAAUUGUCUAAAAGGCUAAUGUUACCCAAGAGACCCAGGAAAACUACUGUGUUUAUUCAGGAACUCUGUUCAGAGCCUUCCAGGAGCUUUUGACAGUAGCAGAUGUGUCCAUGUGGUAUCAGCUCUAUGCAGAAUAAGAGAGAGAUGCUGUGGAAUAAAUGUUGCUGCUGCUCCCUUCCCGUUCUGUGCUGGGACUUGGGAAGAAGAGGAGGGAAGUGUAUUUGUAUUAUUCUGGGGGUGGAAGGAGGAGGAGUAGUUGCGUUAUGGUGAAAAAGUUUAUGAUGAAUUUCAGAUUCUUUAUGAUUAAUUUCAGAUUCCUGUUCACCUCAAACUUAUUUUUAAAAUAAAAUAAAUUUUUUUUUCUUACUGUCCUUUUAUUACAUCUCUUAGCCUUGGCUUUCCAGGGAAAAACAUUGCGUGGUCAUUGCUGUUUACCUGACUCCAUGUACGGAACUGUAAUUUUAAUGUCUCUUUUUCCAGACCAUUUGUACACAAAAUCAUUCCAUGAAUGGCUGCCUUAUAAUUUUUCCACUUUAAUUGUGAAUGGUUAAAAUAAUGUUGCCGUUUUCAAUUUGGUUUAUUAUAUUAAAUUUUUACUAGGUGCAGUGCUUCAGAGUUGGCUUGUCAUUUACUGCAUGGGGUUUUGUGACAGCUCCGACAAAGAGAAAUGACAGUCUUAAAAAUGGGAUGCAAGCUGUGCAGACAGUACAUUUUAUUUUUGUAUAAGUGUGUUUGCUGCUUUUCUUCAUAAUGUCUGAGCACCUCCUGGAAACGUGAAGUGUGAAACUGCAUGUUGGGAGGCAGUCUAGCAGGUUGGUUUGGACAUGCGUGUGAUUGGGUUUAGGGGUAUAAAUACAGAAAUGAUUUGACAGCUCUGCUUGAGAGGCGCAUUUGACAACUUCUGUCUCCCACUGUGUGUUUAGGAGUUGGCAUUGCCCUGAAGCUAUCUCUUCCCCCACCCCCAGGGGAGUCUCUGAAGCUUACAAGGCAGAGACCUUUGGAGGGCCAUAAGGAGGUGAUUGGCUCAAGAUGGCUCCAGGCCACAGUUAAAAGGCUGGAGGGCAUGUUGGGGCUAAAGAAAACAGAGCAGAGGAUGGAAUGAAAGCAAUCUUGACAGCCCCAAACCCAAAAUGCAAACACUGAGUCCCUCUGUUCUUUUUGGAGACUUUGUGAUGAAGUAGCCUUUCCUGUAUAUAUGUGCUUCUGUGUGAUUUAGAUUAAAAGUCAACUUUAAAUAUGCAUGCAAAGGUGCGAAGAAAACUCUAUCCUGCUUUUGUUCCUGUGUUAAGGUGAAAACUGCUGAUGAAAUCUUUCUUCCCCCUGUUCUGUGGGUUUUUUUCCCUCCCAUCUUUUUGCUGUUUUCAGGCACCGAGUCACAGCUCAGCUUUCCUUGUGACUGCCCUGUGAUGCUACUGCUUACCUGUUCAUAGCUCUUAGCUCUUAAGUAUAGCUCUCAGUGUUCACUAUGGACAG